This 329-nucleotide ribosomal RNA is filed under the name uncultured eukaryote. RNAcentral's name for it is "partial 18S ribosomal RNA". It matches the Rfam family "Eukaryotic small subunit ribosomal RNA", at positions 1470 to 1796 of the family's 1831-position model. The record is from RNAcentral.
CCCUUAGAUGUUCUGGGCCGCACGCGCGCUACACUGAUGCAUUCAACGAGUCUAAAACCUGCUCUGAUAGGGGUGGGUAAUCUUUUGAAUGUGCAUCGUGAUUGGGAUAGAUGAUUGCAAUUUUUCAUCUUCAACGAGAAAUGCCUAGUAAACGCAAGUCAUCAGCUUGCAUUGAUUACGUCCCUGCCCUUUGUACACACCGCCCGUCGCUCCUACCGAUUGAAUGAUCCGAUGAAUAUCAUGGAUUGAGGAUGCAAGCAGGUUCGCCUGUCUUCAUCUUCGAGAAGUGAAGUAAAUCUUAUCAUUUAGAGGAAGGAGAAGUCGUAACA